AGAGUUUGAUCAUGGCUCAGACUGAACGCUGGCGGCGUGGCUAAGACAUGCAAGUCGAACGACACAGUGGCGCACGGGUGAGUAAUGCAUCGCUAAUCUGCCUGAGCUCGAGGAUAGCGGAGGGAAACUUCCGGUAAUACUCGAUAGUCCUCAAGCACCGCAUGGUGCGUGAUGCAAAGCUUUAUGCGGCCCAGGAUGAGGCGAUGUGGUAUCAGCUAGUUGGUGAGGUAACGGCUCACCAAGGCUUCGACGCCUAGCCGGACUGAGAGGUCGGCCGGCCACAUCGGGACUGAGACACUGCCCGGACUCCUACGGGAGGCUGCAGUAACGAAUCUUCCGCAAUGCACGAAAGUGUGACGGAGCGACGCCGCGUGCAGGACGAAGCCCCUCGGGGUGUAAACUGCUGAAAGGAUCAAGUAAGACCUGAACUGGUCCCUAUAAGGGGCGACUAACUCUGUGCCAGCAGUCGCGGUAAUACAGAGGCCCCAAGCGUUAGGCGGAAUCACUGGGCUUAAAGCGUGCGUAGGCGGCCCUUCAAGUGCUUUGUGAAAGCCCUCGGCUCAACCGAGGAAUUGCUUGGCAUACUGAAGGGCUUGAAUCAUCUAGGGGCAGCUGGAACUGACGGUGGAGCGGUGAAAUGCGUAGAUAUCGUCAGGAACGCCAACGGCGAAAGCAGGCUGCUGGGGAUGCAUUGACGCUGAGGCACGAAAGCCAGGGUAGCGAACGGGAUUAGAUACCCCGGUAGUCCUGGCCGUAAACGAUGUCCACUAGGCCGUGGAAGGACUGACCCUUUCACGGUCGCAGCAAAAGUGUUAAGUGGACCGCCUGGGGAGUACGGUCGCAAGGCUAAAACUCAAAUGAAUUGACGG
RNAcentral lists this ribosomal RNA (869 nucleotides) under uncultured bacterium. RNAcentral's name for it is "bacterial SSU rRNA". It matches the Rfam family "Bacterial small subunit ribosomal RNA", at positions 8 to 916 of the family's 1533-position model. The record is from RNAcentral.